AAAAAUCAACAACGCAUUCUUUCAGCACAAACGACUAGUUGAAAUGAGGACUACCCAUGUGUGGCUUGUGGCCCUAGUCUUUCUUGUGCUAGCAUCAGGUACUCAUUUGUUCAUGUAACACAUUUGUGCAUAAUCUCUCCCAACAAAUAAUGGUCAUGUUUUGAUUGUCCCUUUUCUUCAUCUCAAGAUUUUGCAGAUGUGGUAGUGGAGGCAUCAAGAGAUAGCAUUAAAUUCGUCACAUGUGUGUCAAAACAAUUGACAAAUCCACCAUGUGAUAACAAAACUUGCGAAGAUGCAUGCUCCAAACGUACAGGGCAAUACAAAUCUGGUGAGUGUGUUGCUGAGGGGUGCAAGUGCACAUUUUGCGUAGACCAUCCUCCAGCCAGCCACAGUAACGAAAAACUGGGUACUAACUAGCUAAGAUUGGAUAGUGUGUUGAGCGAAUAAGAGAUAAAAUCACAAAUGGUGUAGAAGCAAGGUUGUUCACACGUAUAAGCCAUAUGAAGAGUGAUAAAUAGUCUUGCUUCUUGAAUUAUCUUGAAUUAAGAAGUGGUGUAUAAAAUUUGAAGAAGUGGUCUAUAAAAUGUGUGUGGUUGAGUAUUUUUCAUUGUUUUUAUUAAUUGUGAUGUGAAUUCAUGUAGAAGGUGAAUGAGAAUCAUUUUUUCCUUUGCACUUCCUAGUGUAAAGACAAAUUUCAAAUAACAUAUAUCUUUUACUCCCUCCAUUCCAGAAUACACAAGGUGGAUUAGUCUUCUCAAAAGUCAAACAUGUGCAUGUUAACCAAGUUUUCUAAAAAAAUCAUUGUUUAUCUAUUAGGUAUUGCAAUAAGUUGAUUUUUUGACAAAGGGAAUAUAUUAAUAUCGUGGAGAUACCAAGUACACCAAGCCUCUGCAACAACACAAUACCCUAAUAGCACUAUAGAUGCACACAACAAAAAAAAAUAAGAAGCUAGAAAAGAAAAGUCCCGCUAUAGUGAUCUAGUCCUUGAAGCAGCAGUACAAACACCACCAAGACAACACCUAAAGUCCAACUUCUCUAAAAACGAUGCCCUCAAGAAGGAAACAAUGCACAAGUGCCAUGGUUGGCCGAUCAUAGAUCAUAGGUUUUUCACCCUGAAGAAAAUCCACUCUCUCAAAACAAUGCCUUCAAAAAGUCCAUUGCGAGGCACAACCAAUUAUGGUCAGAUCUUGGAUUUUCACCCUGAAAGGUAAGACCUUGAACUUCUCCAAAUGUUGAUAUCUAAUUAUAUAAUAUUGGUCAAACAUACAAACCUUUGAGUAUCAGAAAAAUUGAUGCACUGAGAGUGUGUUUGGUAAGGUAUUUAAGACUAUCUCUAUAUGUUGAUGUAAAGCUAAUGAAUUGAAUAUGGAAUGUUUUAUUUAAUGUGUACAUUAAAUUUCUAUGUAUUUGCGCAUACAUGGUUACUAGUGGUUUGGAAUGCUCAACAAUAAUCAAAUUAACUAGAAUAUAUGAAACAACAUGCAUCGCAUGUGCAAAAUUGAAUUGGAAAGGUAUUAACAUGUGCAGAUGAAAGGACAAUACAUGAAAGGAGGAGGGAGAGGACGUAUAUGGACACCAAUCUAGAUAUGAACCCAGGUAAGAGGCCUGCAAGUGCACAUAGUUUAGUUCUAGCCUUUUCAAACAAAGAUUGUCGAUCCCACAAAAAGCAUGGGAAUUGGACUUUGUCACUUAUGAAUGUAGAUGUGUCUGCAGGUUAGUUGUAGAUGCGAAGCAAAAUGAAGGCAAAAGAUUGAAAUAAUUUUUGAGAUGAGUGCAAAAAUGAGUAAUUAGUGUAAAAGAAUUAAAAGAGCACAAAGAGGUGAAUAGAGCAUUGAGAGGAUUAAAAUGUUCUCAGGGAGUCUAGAAGUACCAUAGGUAUGUGUCUAAUGUAACAUAUGCUACUACAUAGUUCUAAGUUGG
This 1920-nucleotide long non-coding RNA is filed under the name Triticum aestivum (bread wheat). RNAcentral describes it as "long non-coding RNA (TAES_LNC026990)". Lineage: Eukaryota; Viridiplantae; Streptophyta; Magnoliopsida; Poales; Poaceae. The record is from RNAcentral.